RNAcentral lists this ribosomal RNA (291 nucleotides) under uncultured bacterium. RNAcentral describes it as "partial 16S ribosomal RNA". It matches the Rfam family "Bacterial small subunit ribosomal RNA", at positions 773 to 1060 of the family's 1533-position model. The record is from RNAcentral.
GUGGAUUAGAUACCCUAGUAGUCCACGCCGUAAACGAUGAGUGCUAAGUGUUGGGGGGUUUCCGCCCCUCAGUGCUGCAGCUAACGCAUUAAGCACUCCGCCUGGGGAGUACGGUCGCAAGACUGAAACUCAAAGGAAUUGACGGGGGCCCGCACAAGCGGUGGAGCAUGUGGUUUAAUUCGAAGCAACGCGAAGAACCUUACCAGGUCUUGACAUCCCAUUGACCACUGUAGAGAUACAGUUUUCCCUUCGGGGACAACGGUGACAGGUGGUGCAUGGCCGUCGCCAACU